Molecule: transfer RNA, 69 nt
Filed under: Marmota monax (woodchuck)
Lineage: Eukaryota; Metazoa; Chordata; Mammalia; Rodentia; Sciuridae
Description: tRNA.Ala
Rfam family: tRNA (bases 7-64)
About the family: Transfer RNA (tRNA) molecules are approximately 80 nucleotides in length. Their secondary structure includes four short double-helical elements and three loops (D, anti-codon, and T loops).
Source: RNAcentral
GGAAUAUAGCCCAGUUGGUAGAGUGUUUGCCUUGCAUGCACAAAGCCCUGGGUUCGAUCCCCAGAACCA